RNAcentral lists this long non-coding RNA (1267 nucleotides) under Capra hircus (goat). RNAcentral's name for it is "lncRNA (ENSCHIG00010026589.1)". The record is from RNAcentral. Lineage: Eukaryota; Metazoa; Chordata; Mammalia; Artiodactyla; Bovidae.
GGCAGCGGCCAGGCAAGAGACGGUCCGCGAUGCAGCCGCGCCGGACCGAAGCCGCGGGCCCGCCCGGCGGAGGGGUGGACCAGGCGGCGGCGGCGGAUGGGACAGCGGCACCUGUACCCCUCGGAGGGCAGACGCGGUAGAGCUGGAGAAGCUCCUCGCCGGGGUAAAAACCCAAAAGAGGGGGAGGGGAGGCAGCAGAGAAGGAGCUUCUAGAAACUCCCUUCUGAGGCAGCAGCUGGACGGUUUAGGAAACCCGCACAACGCCUGGGAAAACGGUCCUUGAAGCUGAGCCUAGAAUGAAAUCAUGCAUCAACCAAGACAUACUGAGUUCCUCCUCCUCUGAUAACUUUGUUAUUGGAUCCCAGCCAUUUGCCUGGUUUCUUCUUCUUUGGAAUCAGUUUUCUUUAUAGUUUUUAACCACAAUUAGACUUCUUUGGAGCCAACGCAUCAAUUCAUCAGGCAUAAUAGGAUAUUCUUGAAGUUCAGCAAUGAACCCAGUUAUGUCUUUUUUCCAGAAAGUUUCUAUGUCACUGGAAGAUCUAUUCUAUAACUUGUCUAACUAUGCAAAAAUCCCACCAUUAGAUUGUGCAAAGGUAGUAGCUUAAUGUGAGAUUUCUGCUACAUGGUUUAUAAUUCUGUAGAAACACAACAUAAAAUCAUGUGGCUUAAAGAGAAUUAGGAGACAGCACCUCAAUAACUCAUUAACUGCUAGCAGUAUCACAUAAAACAUGUUUUUAUAAACACAUACAUAAGAAUUAAAUUGAUUUACUAGAAAAUUCUUAUCGCUCUUUAUUUGCUGAGUCAAUGGCUAUUUCCACAAGUAUAGUUGCAGGUAAAAUCUCAUAACUUACAGCUGAAAUACUUAGCCUUUUGACAUAGUGCCAUGAUUAGCAAAGUCUCAGAAACAUUAGUCACUUUGAUUGGCCACUCUAUAUAAGGACUAAUUCAGUUCUUAAGUUACUUUAGGAAAAGAUUGGUCAUAAUUCUACCAUAUUUAUGAAAACCGUCUUGAGUUUCUUUGGCUGUUGAAGGCUUCUUUCUUUUAAACCAUUUAAUAAUUGUCAUAGACUUGGAUGGUAUUAUGCUUAGUGAAAUAAGUCAGAUAGAUANNNNNNNNUACUGUAGGUUAUAAUUUAUAUGUGAUAUCUACAAAGUAAAUCAAACUAAUGAUGAUAGCAAAACAAAAAAUAGACACAGAUAUAAAGGAAAAAAUCUAGUGGCUACCAGUGGGAGAGAGAAAAGAGUAGGGCCUAUUGAGAGGUAGAAU